GACGAACGCUGGCGGCGUGCUUAACACAUGCAAGUCGAGCGGUAAGGCCCUUUCGGGGUACGACGAGCGGCGAACGGGUGAGUAACACGUGGGUGACCUGCCCUCAGCUCUGGGAGUAAGCCUGGGAAACCGGGUCUAAUACCGGAUAUGACUCCAUGACGCAUGUUGUGGGGUGGAAAGCCUUGUGCGGCUGAGGAUGGGCCCGCGGCCUAUCAGCUUGUUGGUGGGGUGAUGGCCUACCAAGGCGACGACGGGUAGCCGGCCUGAGAGGGCGACCGGCCACACUGGGACUGAGACACGGCCCAGACUCCUACGGGAGGCAGCAGUGGGGAAUCUUGCGCAAUGGGCGAAAGCCUGACGCAGCGACGCCGCGUGAGGGAUGACGGCCU
This 389-nucleotide ribosomal RNA is filed under the name uncultured bacterium. RNAcentral describes it as "bacterial SSU rRNA". It matches the Rfam family "Bacterial small subunit ribosomal RNA", at positions 28 to 417 of the family's 1533-position model. The record is from RNAcentral.